CCCUGACCCUCCGUCAGAGCGUGUUGUCCCUCAGGUUUUAGGUUAUUUUCUUCUGUUGUUUAAAUUGUUCAUAGAGUAGUUUUUUCUACAUUCCUUGUUUACAAUGUUUAUAUUGCUUUUUGGUACUUAAGCUCUAGUGUUCAGUUUCAAACUUGUUGAGCAAGCUGUUUCAAACCAGCAGUCUGUCAUAACUUUAAAACACACCAACAUUAGUUGUCAAUAUGUAUGCUGCUCUGGAAAUCAAAACAAACCACUGUAGGCAGAUGUAGGCAGAUAAGUCAUUGCUCUAAGUGUUAAAAAAAACUAACUCAUAUUCAAUUUCUGACCUGCCAAGCAAGCUGUUUCAAAUUAGCACUCAACCGUUACUUAAAAUCAAACAACAUUUUGAUCACUUCAGUAUGGGCUCUGUAACUUUUACAGAUACCAUAAGCCUGAAUCAAGUCUGACAGUUCCUGAAGCCCAGUACCGGGAAUCAGGUUCUGCUACUUGGUCUCAUGGUUUCACACUAACCCUGACCCUCCAUCAGAGCGUGUUGUCCCUCAGGUUUUAGGUUAUUUUCUUCUGUUGUGUAAAUGGUUCAUAGAGUAUUUUUUCUACAUUCCUUGUUUAUAAUGUUUAUAUUGCUUGUUGGUACUUUACUUCUAGUGUUCAGUUCUGUAACUUUUAUAGAUACGAUACGCCUGGAUCAAGUCUGACAGUUCCUGAGGCCCAGUCCCGGGAGUCAGGUUCUGCUACUUGGUCUCAUGGUUUCACACUACCGCUGAUCCUCCAUCAGAGCGUGUUGUCCCUCAGGUUUUAGGUUAUUUUCUUCUGUUGUUUAAAUAAUUCAUAGAGUAGCUUUUUCUACAUUCCUUGUUUAUAAUGUUUAUAUUGCUUUUUGGUACCUUAGUUCUAGUGUUCAGUUCUGUAACUUUUAUAGAUACCAUACGCCUGGAUCAAGACUGACAGUUCCUGAGGCCCAGUACCGGGAAUCAGGUUCUGCUACUUGGUCUCAUGGUUUCACGCUAACCCUGACCCUCCGUCAGAGCGUGUUGUCCCUCAGGUUUUAGGUUAUAUUCUUCUGUUGUUUAAAUGGUUCAUAGAGUAUUUUUUCUACAUUCCUGGUUUAUAAUGUUUAUAUUGCUUUUUGGUACUUUAGUUCUAGUGUUCAGUUUCAAACUUGUUGAGCAAGCUGUUUCAAACCAGCAGUCUGUCAUAACUUUAAAACACACCAACAUUAGUUGUCAAUAUGUAUGCUGCUCUGGAAAUCAAAACAAACCACUGUAGGCAGAUGUAGGCAGAUAAAUCAUUGCUCUAAGUGUUAAAAAAAACUUUAAAAAAAUUUCUGACCUGCCAAGCAAGCUGUUUCAAAUUAGCACUCAACCGUUACUUAAAAUCAAACAACAUUUUGAUCACUUCAGUAUGGGCUCUGUAACUUUUACAGAUACCAUAAGCCUGAAUCAAGUCUGACAGUUCCUGAGGCCCAGUACCGGGAGUCAGGUUCUGCUACUUGGUCACAUGGUUUCACACAACCUAAUAAGCAAGCUAUUUCAACUUAGCAGUCAACCCUUACUUGAAAUCACACAACAUUUUUAUCACUUCGCUAUGGGCUCCAUAACUUUUAUAGUACAAAUAACUAUAUGGACAAUACACUUCUGCACAAUAAUUUUAUGGAGGUAUGGUUUCUUCAAGCCCAGGGUGUGUAGCCCAGUACCGGGAAACACCCCAGGGAUAAGGAGAAUUAAUUACCUCCCAUUUCUGCAAUUAUCCCCCUCUCGCACCCCCAGCUGCAAAACUGUUUCUCUUUACACUGUUUAACCUGUUUUUAUGGGCAAGACAUUACAGUGCACUUGGUGUAUGAAGGUAUAUUUCUCAGACCCAGAGUGUGUGGCCCAGUACCGGGAGACCCUCUGGGAUGAGGAGUAUUAUCUCCAUUGUGAAAUGCUCUCCAAACUGCUACUACAAUGUUUCUAGACAUCAGUCACCUGUUACUUUGAAUCACACCUAAAUUGACUGUUGACAUGUAUUCUGCUCUACAAAACCAAACAAAAACUGUAGACAGACCACUCAUUGCUCGUAGUGUUAAAAAAAACUAUAUAUAUGAUAAUAUUCGCUGUGUGACCUUCUCAGCUGGCUGUUUCAAGCCAGUAGUCCGCCACUAGGUUAAAUCAUACCAACACUGCAAUCACACUAAUGUCCUUUUAUUAAUACAAAACAAAAGCAAUCUCAUAAUGCUUGGUUGUCACUUUAACUAACUUUUCCCAGCCUCUUUUUGGAAGAGAGCAGUCUUUUUCUAACUGUAUUGCAGGUCUGCCAAGCCCCUCUGUGACAGCCUGGAUCAGCCACACCCGCACUUCAUCCAUAGAGCUCAGCUUGUCCAUGUACGAAGACGCCUUGCAGGUUUGAAAUGUAAUGUCAAGUUGUACAAAUUAUUGUGUAUACAUGUCACUGCUAAGUCUAGUCCUCACAGCCCCAGUCAGUUGGUCAGAGGAAGGAUGGCAACUUCUCCAGUGGGCACAAAAAUGAAGGACGUGACACGCUCCAGACCAAGAAGACCAAUGGGCAACUGUCAGGAAGACCCCAGCCACCGAAACAUUGAGCAUCUGCAUAGGACAUGAGCACACAGGCACGGCAGCCGAGGAGACUGAAGAUGGCCAGGCAGAUCAAUGGCACCCCUGCUGAGGAAUCAAAGCAGCAACAAAUGAAAAAGUUCAGAUACUGCAGAAGACUCAAGAAGAAAACAACCAAAGAAAGGAACAAGAGCUCCACUGAGGACAUGUUAGUUUUGUGGCACAGAUUUCAAUUGGUCCUGUGCACAAUCAUAGUGAGUGGACAUUGUUCCAUCCCCAGUUAGGUUUAAGAGCGGGUUCCCUUUGGAACUCGUUUGGGGGGGGGUGUUAGUGUGGCAUGAACGUGGUUAGAGCAUUUGUCUCGGGAGCACAUCCGAAGCUACAGGUGGGUCACCAUUUUAUGGUUGCUUUACCAGGCUAUCGGGCUACAGUGCAUAAGUACCCGCCACAAGUAGCGCCUGAAGACUAGGGAGGAGCUUAGUUAGAUUUCAGUGUGUUGCUCUUCUACUGUAAAUAAAUGUUGUUCCUCACAAAACAUUUGGUGUUUCAGCAGUC
Long non-coding RNA from Myripristis murdjan (pinecone soldierfish), 3104 nucleotides. RefSeq lists it as uncharacterized. The transcript is spliced from 3 exons. The record is from RefSeq and is a predicted model, not a curated record. Lineage: Eukaryota; Metazoa; Chordata; Actinopteri; Holocentriformes; Holocentridae.